Molecule: ribosomal RNA, 445 nt
Filed under: uncultured bacterium
Lineage: Bacteria
Description: bacterial SSU rRNA
Rfam family: Bacterial small subunit ribosomal RNA
Source: RNAcentral
GAUGAACGCUGGCGGUAUGCCUAACACAUGCAAGUCGUACGAGAGUUUUUAACUCUAGUGGCGGACGGGUGAGUAACACGUGAGAAUUUGCCUUUAGGAGGGGGACAACAAUUGGAAACGAAUGCUAAUACCCCAUAUGCUUUCGAGUGAAAUGGAUUUUAUCCGCCUAGAGAGAAGCUCGCGGCUGAUUAGCUUGUUGGUAAGGUAAGAGCUUACCAAGGCGACGAUCAGUAUCUGGUUUGAGAGGACGAUCAGACACACUGGAACUGAGACACGGUCCAGACUCCUACGGGAGGCAGCAGUGGGGAAUUUUCCGCAAUGGGCGAAAGCCUGACGGAGCAAUACCGCGUGAGGGAAGAAUGCCUAUGGGUUGUAAACCUCUUUUUUCUAGGGAGGAAUAAAAUAGACGUGUACCUGAAGAAUAAGACAUCGGCUAACUACCGUG